UAUCUGCAGUCGAGGGGCAGCGCAGUGUAGCAAUACAUGGGCGGCGACCGGCAAACGGGUGCGGAACACGUACGCAACCUUCCCAAAACUGGUGAAUAGCCUUUCGAAAGAGAGAUUAAUACACCGUAACUUAAUGAAGUGGCAUCACUUUAUUAAUAUAGCUCCGGCGGUUUUGGAUGGGCGUGCGGCUGAUUAGGUAGUUGGCGGGGUAACAGCCCACCAAGCCUACGAUCAGUAACUGGUGUGAGAGCACGACCAGUCACACGGGCACUGAGACACGGGCCCGACUCCUACGGGAGGCAGCAGUAAGGAAUAUUGGUCAAUGGACGCAAGUCUGAACCAGCCAUGCCGCGUGGAGGAUGAAGGUCCUCUGGAUUGUAAACUUCUUUUAUCGGAGAAGAAACCCUAGAAUUCUUUCUGGGUUGACGGUACCCGAUGAAUAAGCACCGGCUAACUCCGUGCCAGCAGCCGCGGUAAUACGGAGGGUGCAAGCGUUAUCCGGAUUCACUGGGUUUAAAGGGAGCGUAGGUGGGAUGGUAAGUCAGUGGUGAAAUCUCCGGGCUUAACUCGGAAACUGCCGUUGAUACUAUCGUUCUUGAAUAUUGUGGAGGUAAGCGGAAUAUGUCAUGUAGCGGUGAAAUGCUUAGAUAUGACAUAGAACACCGAUAGCGAAGGCAGCUUGCUACACAAUUAUUGACACUGAGGCUCGAAAGCGUGGGGAUCAAACAGGAUUAGAUACCCUGGUAGUCCACGCCCUAAACGAUGGAUACUCGACAUACGCGAUACACAGUGUGUGUCUGAGCGAAAGCAUUAAGUAUCCCACCUGGGAAGUACGACCGCAAGGUUGAAA
RNAcentral lists this ribosomal RNA (850 nucleotides) under uncultured bacterium. RNAcentral describes it as "bacterial SSU rRNA". It matches the Rfam family "Bacterial small subunit ribosomal RNA", at positions 52 to 899 of the family's 1533-position model. The record is from RNAcentral.